AAACCAACAGGGAUUGCCUUAGUAACGGCGAGUGAAGCGGCAAAAGCUCAAAUUUGAAAUCUGGCACCUUCGGUGUCCGAGUUGUAAUUUGAAGAAGGUAACUUUGGAGUCAGCUCUUGUCUAUGUUCCUUGGAACAGGACGUCACAGAGGGUGAGAAUCCCGUGCGAUGAGAUGUCUGAUUCUAUGUAAAGUGCUUUCGAAGAGUCGAGUUGUUUGGGAAUGCAGCUCUAAGUGGGUGGUAAAUUCCAUCUAAAGCUAAAUAUUGGCGAGAGACCGAUAGCGAACAAGUACAGUGAUGGAAAGAUGAAAAGAACUUUGAAAAGAGAGUGAAAAAGUACGUGAAAUUGUUGAAAGGGAAGGGUUUGAGAUCAGACUUGGUAUUUUGUAUGUCUUGCUUUCGGGUGGGGCCUCUACAGUUUACUGGGCCAGCAUCGGUUUGGACGGUAGGAUAAUGACAUUGGAAUGUGGCACCACNUCGGUGGUGUGUUAUAGACUUUGUUGAUACUGCCUGUCUAGACCGAGGACUGCGUCUUUGACUAGGAUGCUGGCAUAAUGAUCUUAAACCGC
RNAcentral lists this ribosomal RNA (568 nucleotides) under Scheffersomyces stipitis. Its description in RNAcentral is "eukaryotic LSU rRNA". It matches the Rfam family "Eukaryotic large subunit ribosomal RNA", at positions 62 to 648 of the family's 3401-position model. Lineage: Eukaryota; Fungi; Ascomycota; Pichiomycetes; Serinales; Debaryomycetaceae. The record is from RNAcentral.